This 603-nucleotide long non-coding RNA is filed under the name Cyanistes caeruleus (blue tit). Its description in RNAcentral is "lncRNA (ENSCCEG00000004928.1)". Lineage: Eukaryota; Metazoa; Chordata; Aves; Passeriformes; Paridae. The record is from RNAcentral.
UUUAGUUUUAAUGAUACUCCAACCAGCCAUUUACAACUCAAGGAAAAUUAGACUCCAAGAAGAGCAACUAUCUUGAGCCAAUGCCAAAAUAGAAAGGAUAUGGAGAUAUCAGAAGGUGUGUUCCUGAGUUGUUUUCUGGUCAUUGUCUCUAUUACUUUAUUGAUGCAUGAACUUUUAAUAUAAAAGCAACAUCAACAGAGAUAAAAAGGUGAUUUUCAGCUGAUGUACAACCACUUGGCAAAAAGGAUCUAUGAAAAAGCAAUAAUUAUUUAAAUUGGAGGUAAUGCUGGAGUGUUUGCGAACAUGACAUCCAUGUUAGUAGAAUAUUUACAAAAGACAAUAAUGCUUUUUUAGUAAAGUACAUCUGCUGACAGGAAGACAGAGCACCUUUCUAUGUUUUAUCAGGUCAUAGCUUCUCAUGUGUCUGUGUUAAUAUAGCAAGUAGAUCAAUGCAAGUAUAUCAAUGCAAGUAGAUCAAUGUACAAAUCAUUGUACAGUUGGGUUUUUUUCCUCUCAAAAAAAGAUGCAAAGUAAUUAGAAUAACAUGUUUUUUGAGCUUUACUGCAAAUUUCUUGUUUGAUAAUGAUAAUGAUGAUUAUUAAA